Molecule: ribosomal RNA, 253 nt
Filed under: uncultured bacterium
Lineage: Bacteria
Description: partial 16S ribosomal RNA
Rfam family: Bacterial small subunit ribosomal RNA
Source: RNAcentral
UACGGAGGGUGCAAGCAUUAAUCGGAUUUAUUGGGCGUAAAGGGCGCGUAGGCGGGCAUUCAAGUCAGAUGUGAAAUGCCGGAGCUCAACUCCGGAACGGCAUUUGAAACUGAUUGUCUAGAGGGUAGGCGGAGAAAAUAGAAUUCCACAAGUAGCGGUGAAAUGCGUAGAUAUGUGGAAGAAUACCGGUGGCGAAGGCGAUUUUCUAGCUUAUACCUGACGCUGAGGCGCGAAAGUAAGGGGAUCAAACAGG